AUGUCUACCGGUAUGGGGAUUUUAUACAUUAUUUGAUACCCGCUACUAUUGGCCAAAGAAUUAGUCAAUAGUGGCACAAAUAUGAUUUAAUGGAGGCACGGACAUUCAAUGCUAUAUAUUAGUAAUAAUAUAUCUAAACCUUUAUGUAUGGCCUCGCUAUUUAAAAUAGUAUUAUAUUAAAUGUUUAAUUAUGGUUUAAAUAUUAUGGUUCCAAAUAUUAUAGUUAAUAUUUAAUAUAAUACAUUAUAACUAGCUAAUUGCAUGCUUAAUAACAGAGCACUCUUUAACCCAACUUUUUACUUUAGUGAAAUGUCAAUUAUAUUAUGAUUUAUUAAAUAAAUAUGAACCAAAACAAACUAAUGAUAUUACGUAAUGGAUCUCUAAAGCUCCAAACCAACAGGUACCACCUUUGCAAAAUUGCAAUUGUGUGGACCAUGAUACCAUAUGGAAGCUACACUAAUUAAUUCACAUCAAUAAUUUGUGGAAACAAUAAGUGUUUUAAAUUGUGAUUAAUGGUAUAAUAUAAGUUACUACAAAUAUAUUAUUUAACGCUUUUCAGUAUAAAUAGUUAAUAAGAACAUGCAAUAAAGUGUAUUUUGUGGUGUGUUAAAUUUGUAGUAAUUAAUAGUUAAAAGCUAAAUUAUUAAAAAUAUUAAAUAAAUUUGAAGAUUACUUGAGUAGAUUGUGUAGUAUAAUUAGUUAAUUAAUAUAUUAUAAUUGAUAAAGUUAUAGCUAUUAAAUU
RNAcentral lists this long non-coding RNA (742 nucleotides) under Helianthus annuus (common sunflower). Its description in RNAcentral is "hypothetical non coding rna". The record is from RNAcentral. Lineage: Eukaryota; Viridiplantae; Streptophyta; Magnoliopsida; Asterales; Asteraceae.